Molecule: long non-coding RNA, 2630 nt
Filed under: Pelobates cultripes (western spadefoot toad)
Lineage: Eukaryota; Metazoa; Chordata; Amphibia; Anura; Pelobatidae
Source: RNAcentral
CGUUAAAUGUGCUCCUUUCAGCAUAUAUUUGUUUGCUAAUGCUUUAACAUAUAUAAAUUAAUAUAUUUUCUAUUGAAUAGUUUUUUUCCCCUUUUUGAAGCAAAAUAGAAAAUAACUCCUAAAAAACAUGGCUGCCAGAGAUGCCCCCUCCCCCCACUAGGUGCUCACUCCUAAACAUUAAAAUUAGGGAGGGACCCCACCUGCUGACAUGGGGGGGUAAGAUGUUGCCCCCAUUUAUUUUAUUAAACAACCUCCACCCACUGAUCUUAUUACAAAGUGCCCCAUCAGAUGCAAACUUAUUUCACAGACCCUAUACCCAUUGGGGUAUACAUGGCAGCGGAUGUAUACAGAGGUUUUAAACCUCCAUUCUAGUAGCUACUAAUCCCCAUUGGCUCUUUAGUUAUUUUAUUUUGUUUAGCAAGAGGCUGGCCAGCUGCUACAUACAUAGUUACAUACAAUCCAUUUAAAUUCAGCCUUUUUCAAAUCUGUUUUUGCCGCUAAUUGAAAGCAAGGCAAAAAACACAGUUUGCCAUUCUGGGGUCGAGAAGGAAUUCUUUCCUAAUUUGUUGCAAAAUUGGAAAGUGUUUCAGUCAGAUCUCAGCUUGUAUCAUUUGCAAACACUGACACAAAACCUUACAUAAUUAACCCUUGUACUGUCCGCUGGCAGUGCCACUUAAAAUGAUCGUUGUCUUGCUUGAGAAAGCAAGUGCAUGAUAUCUUGCAAACGUGCAUCCCGCUGGAUGCAUUUAGUCCUUAUUCAUUUUAAAGCCAGCUCUAUAUAAAUCUUUCAAAUUCUAUAUUUUGUAUAGGAUUAAAAAAACAAAACCACCAAUUUUAAUCCAGCCAUCUAAUGUCUGGGUGAUUUCUGUAGAUUUUCUUGGGCCAACCAAAUUCUGACCGUAUCUUGCUUCAGUAAAUAUGAGAAUUGUCAUUGCAGUGAUAAUUUGGUAACUUUUAGUCAGAUUUUGUCCAUCCGGAUAAAAUCUAGUGUUUAGUGAUUAACCCCCUUUGUAGUUAUAAUGUGGUUCAUAGAAGUUGUUGGGGUAAGGUUUUGGAGAUCCCGUAACACUUAGCCACUCUGUAAUCUGCCAUUUACCCAAGACCCUUAGUCUUGUUUUCCUUUUUUUUUUUCAUAGCCCAUGUACUUAUUUCAUCUAUAAGCAAAUAAUGGGUACGGUCCUGGAUUUAUCAUCUUAAUGAAUCAGGUUUGGUGUGGCAUGGCAUAAUUGUAAUUAUUCUUCAUUCCAUUAUAACAGAGAUAACUUUCCAGCAAGUUGUAAAGAGUUACAAUUCACUUUUGCCAUUUGCAUCCUAGAUCUUUAUAAACACAAUUCAUCCUGUUUUCAAAAGCAGCCAAAGGUUGCUAUAAAAAGCUGAUGAAUGAUGCCACCUGCUGACCACAUUCUAUGCAACUGAAGAUAUUUCAGUGAACAAACACUGGUGGUUUCUUGCUAUUUUUCAGAUUUGGUGAAACACUGAAGCAGUAUUUUAGAUAAUUGUUAAACUGAUUUUAUUGGUCACUUAAAGGAUGGCCACCAGCUUUUGCUCUAUAAAAUUAAGUUAAAGAUUACUAACCACAUUUCCAAAGCCAGUGCUCCUCUCAUGCAGCUUUUAGCUCCUCUUCCAGGGGUGGUUACAUCAUUCGUGAUCUCUUCCAAACCAUUGCUUCUCCUAGAAAAGCAAUGGACUGGAACCAUGCCCUCCAAUCACAUGCUAUCAGCAGAAUUUCAUGCCAAGACCAAGUUUUUCUUGGUCUUGAGGUGGAGGCGACUCUAGUGGCUGUCUGGAAGUCGGCCACUAGAGGUGGAAUUAACACUGCAAUGACAACUGACAAAAAAACUGCACUUUUUUACACUGAAUGGUUCAAUUGGUUGGUAGCCAUAAUAAUUGAUGUAGUAAGGUAGCUAGGUAUUUGUCCUCAAGGUAUAAUCUUGUGGGGGGGCUCAGAGAGCUUCAAGCUGGAGAAUAGUAGCAUUUAUGUAACUUCAGGUCUGGUAUUCCAAGACCACCACGAGAAGUGGGAAGACACAAAAUGGAUGUGGCUAUCUGUAGAGGCAGUGUCCUCCAAAUGUGAGCAAAGAGUAGUGAUUGAUAGCAUUGAUGGUAGAGAGAUGGGGAUUGUACUAGAGAUAUAUAAGAAUGUUGGUAAAACCGCCAUUUUCAUGGUGUUCUGCCAAACUAGGAAAUGUCAAAUUUUUGUAAUUGGGCUCUAGUGUCAUUCAAGAGUUUCAUAUAGUUUUCUUUUAUUAGUUCUGUUUGGGACAUUGUUAGUUUUAUAUCUAAAGAUAUGAUGUAGUCCCGCCUCCAAUCAAAGGCAUAUUUUCCUUGAAGCCUAUCCAAAUCACCAAGAGGCAGUGCCUGGGACGACUUUCAAUCAACCAAUCAGAGUGUUGUUAUGAGUCAAAUUACACAGCAUGGGAAACUUCCAAAGAACUUUCCCACGCUGUGUAAAACGACACAGAACAAUCGGAGUGGUUGGAUUUCAAGCUAACCAAUCAAAGUGCAUUGACAGGUAAAUUUAGAGACUUACCUGUCAGAGUACUCUGAUUUGAUGGCUUUAUAAGCCUUCCCCCGACCUGCGGAGCUCAGUCUGCACGGUGCACUCCAUGGGUGAUGAUGGAUUACUUUUU